UCCUGCUUGGAUUUACUUUUGGCAACGUGUUUGGAAUGUUUCUGGCUCAGAAUUAUGACAUAUCAAACCUGGCUAAAAAACUUGAAGAAAUUUAAAAGGGACUUGGAUACCAAGAAGAAACCCUCUAGUUCACGAAGUAGACUCCAGCCCUGUCUCCUGGAUAUACUGAUUUCUGCUAUUCUUGAGGGCCUCCUUACCAUCUGAACCAAAAACUUUUGUUUUAAAUUCCCGCCUCAUCGAUUUUCCUCUCUGCUAGAUCCUGUGUUGCUUUACAGCACAAAAGGGCCCACAGGUUAAGAAGUACCCUUUUCUGGGACACCUGGGUGGCUCAGUCUGUUAAGCACCGGACUUCGACUCAGGUCUUGAUCUCUUGGUCUGUGGGUCUGAGCCCUGCGUUGGGUUCUGUGUUGACAGCUCGGAGCCUGGAGCUCGGUUUGGAUUCUGUGUCUCCCUCCGUCUCUGACCCUCCCCCACUCACGCUCUGUCUCUCUCUGCCUCAAAAGUAAAUAAACGUUAAAAUUUUUAAACAAUUUUUUUAACUUUUAUUUACUUUUGAGGCAGAGAGAGCGUUAGUGGGAGAGGGGCAGAGAGAGAGGGAGACACAGUAUGUCAGCACAGAGUCCCUGUGCAGGGCUCGAACUCAGGAGAGGUGAGAUCAUGCCCUAAGCUGAAGUCGGACCCUUAACCUACUAAGCCACCCAGGUGCAGGGCUCAAACUCAGGAGAGGUGAGAUCAUGCCCUAAAAGCUAAUAAAUAAAUAAACAAAUAAAUAAAUGAAGUACCCUUUUCCAACAUCAUCACCUCUGCCAUUCCUCCUUGCAGCCACUUGGGAUGGCCUAAGACUGGACUUAUGGUACUAGAUUAGUAAAUGUGACCUUUAGUAAUUUUUUCUUUAUUCUUUGGGAUUUCUACUAGCUUUUUUUUUUUUUUGAAGAAAAUUGAUGACUUUUGUACAGCUGAUCUGUUAUAAAGCUGACUUCACAGCUUAGCAAUUAUAGUGGGUGUUUAAACAUUUGGUACUAAAUUAUGGCUUUUCAAAGUAAUUAAAAUUAAUGUCCAGAAGCCAGUUACUCCUAAAUUAUCCAAUUGUUGUCAGGCAGCUGCAUGGUUGCUAAUUUAACCAGUAAGUCAGUUUGCUGCCCAUUAACUGAAAAACUAUGUUCUGAGAGCUCUGUCAGAACUAUCGAGUUUAAAAAUAUGUAAAAUAGGGGCACCUGGGUGGCUCAGGGCAUGAUCUUGGGGUUUGUGAGUUCCAGCCCCGCAUGGGGCCCUGUGCUCGCAGCUCAGAGCCUGGAGCCUGCUUCAGAUUCUGUCUGUCUCUCUGCCCCUCCCCCACCUCUCUCUCAAAGAUAAAUAAACAUACAAAAAUUAAAAAUAAGUAAAAUAAUGGCCUCUGUCCUCCAUAGAAUUCAGUCUCGUAUGCAUGUUUUUCCUUAAUGAUGUCUUUGACUUGGCUCCUUUUGCUCAAAAGAAUCAUAUUUACUUUAAGGCAUUACAGGUGCAUUUGAUAUUACAUGAUAGAUAAGUGACACGUUAUCUAUAAAGGAAAUGUUAUGCCUUUUCACAUUGAGAAAUGUGUUUACAUUAUAACUUUAUAGUGAUUCUCAUAAGAAAACUG
This 1618-nucleotide long non-coding RNA is filed under the name Lynx pardinus (Iberian lynx). Lineage: Eukaryota; Metazoa; Chordata; Mammalia; Carnivora; Felidae. The record is from RNAcentral.